CCUACGGGAGGCAGCAGUGGGGAAUAUUGGACAAUGGGCGAAAGCCUGAUCCAGCCAUGCCGCGUGUGUGAAGAAGGUCUUCGGAUUGUAAAGCACUUUAAGCUGGGAGGAAGGGUUGUAGGUUAAUACCCUGCAAUUUUGACGUUACCAGCAGAAUAAGCACCGGCUAACUCUGUGCCAGCAGCCGCGGUAAUACAGAGGGUGCAAGCGUUAAUCGGAAUUACUGGGCGUAAAGCGCGCGUAGGUGGUUUGGUAAGUUGAAUGUGAAAGCCCCGGGCUCAACCUGGGAACUGCAUCCAAAACUGCCUGGCUAGAGUACGGUAGAGGGUGGUGGAAUUUCCUGUGUAGCGGUGAAAUGCGUAGAUAUAGGAAGGAACACCAGUGGCGAAGGCGACCACCUGGACUGAUACUGACACUGAGGUGCGAAAGCGUGGGGAGCA
RNAcentral lists this ribosomal RNA (440 nucleotides) under uncultured bacterium. RNAcentral's name for it is "bacterial SSU rRNA". It matches the Rfam family "Bacterial small subunit ribosomal RNA", at positions 338 to 770 of the family's 1533-position model. The record is from RNAcentral.